Molecule: ribosomal RNA, 425 nt
Filed under: uncultured Acidobacterium sp.
Lineage: Bacteria; Pseudomonadati; Acidobacteriota; Terriglobia; Terriglobales; Acidobacteriaceae
Description: bacterial SSU rRNA
Rfam family: Bacterial small subunit ribosomal RNA
Source: RNAcentral
ACGCGAAGAACCUUACCCAGGCUUGAACAGCGAGUGACCAGCGAUGAAAGUCGCCUUCCGCAAGGACACUCGUAGAGGUGCUGCAUGGCUGUCGUCAGCUCGUGUCGUGAGAUGUUGGGUUAAGUCCCGCAACGAGCGCAACCCUUGUCCUCUGUUGCCAUCACGUUAUGGUGGGCACUCUGGGGAGACUGCCGGUGAUAAACCGGAGGAAGGUGGGGAUGACGUCAAGUCAGCAUGGCCUUUAUGUCUGGGGCUACACACGUGCUACAAUGGCCGGUACAAAGCGUCGCGAGCCCGCGAGGGGGAGCUAAUCGCAGAAAGCCGGUCUCAGUUCGGAUCGUAGGCUGCAACUCGCCUGCGUGAAGUCGGAAUCGCUAGUAAUCGCGGAUCAGCACGCCGCGGUGAAUACGUUCCCGGGCCUUGUA